This 1450-nucleotide ribosomal RNA is filed under the name uncultured prokaryote. RNAcentral describes it as "partial 16S ribosomal RNA". It matches the Rfam family "Bacterial small subunit ribosomal RNA". The record is from RNAcentral.
AGAGUUUGAUCAUGGCUCAGAACGAACGCUGGCGGCAGGCUUAACACAUGCAAGUCGAACGCACUCUUCGGAGAGAGUGGCAGACGGGUGAGUAACGCGUAGGAAUUUGCCCAGUAGUGGGGGACAACUUAGGGAAACUUAAGCUAAUACCGCAUACGCCAGGUGAUCUUCGGACCUUGCGCUAUUGGAGAAGCCUGCGUCGGAUUAGCUAGUUGGUGGGGUAAAGGCCUACCAAGGCGACGAUCCGUAGCUGGUCUGAGAGGAUGAUCAGCCACACUGGGACUGAGACACGGCCCAGACUCCUACGGGAGGCAGCAGUGGGGAAUAUUGGACAAUGGGCGAAAGCCUGAUCCAGCCAUGCCGCGUGUGUGAAGAAGGCCUUAGGGUUGUAAAACUCUUUUAUAUGGGAAGAUAAUGACGGUACUAUAUGAAUAAGCACCGGCUAACUCCGUGCCAGCAGCCGCGGUAAUACGGAGGGUGCGAGCGUUAAUCGGAAUUACUGGGCGUAAAGCGCGCGUAGGCGGCCUGAUAAGUUGGAUGUGAAAGCCCUGGGCUCAACCUAGGAACUGCAUUCAAAACUGUCAGGCUAGAGUAUGGUAGAGGAUAGUGGAAUUUCCGGUGUAGCGGUGAAAUGCGUAGAGAUCGGAAGGAACAUCAGUGGCGAAGGCGACUACCUGGCCAAAUACUGACACUGAGGUGCGAAAGCGUGGGGAGCAAACAGGAUUAGAUCCCCUGGUAGUCCACGCCGUAAACGAUGUCAACUAGCCGUUGGAGGGCUUGUCCCUUUAGUGGCGCAGCUAACGCACUAAGUAGACCGCCUGGGGAGUACGGUCGCAAGAUUAAAACUCAAAUGAAUUGACGGGGGCCCGCACAAGCGGUGGAGCAUGUGUUUUAAUUCGAAGCAACGCGAAGAACCUUACCCGCUCUUGACAUCCACAGAACUUUCCAGAGAUGGAUCGGUGCCUUCGGGAACUGUGAGACAGGUGCUGCAUGGCUGUCGUCAGCUCGUGUUGUGAAAUGUUGGGUUAAGUCCCGUAACGAGCGCAACCCUUGUCCUUAUUUGCCAGCACGUAAUGGUGGGAACUCUAAGGAGACUGCCGGUGACAAACCGGAGGAAGGUGGGGACGACGUCAAGUCAUCAUGGCCCUUACGAGCGGGGCUACACACGUGCUACAAUGGCCAGGACAAACGGUUGCAACCCCGCGAGGGUGAGCUAAUCUGAGAAACCUGGUCGUAGUCCGGAUCGCAGUCUGCAACUCGACUGCGUGAAGUCGGAAUCGCUAGUAAUCGUGAAUCAGAACGUCACGGUGAAUACGUUCCCGGGCCUUGUCCACACCGCCCGUCACACCAUGGGAGUGGAUUGCAGCAGAAGUAGCUAGCUUAACCUUCGGGAGGGCGGUUACCACGGUGUGGUUCAUGACUGGGGUGAAGUCGGAACAAGGUAACCGUA